RNAcentral lists this long non-coding RNA (1508 nucleotides) under Homo sapiens (human). Its description in RNAcentral is "HSALNT0211784". The record is from RNAcentral. Lineage: Eukaryota; Metazoa; Chordata; Mammalia; Primates; Hominidae.
GUGAGUGGGGGAAAACAUCUAGGAAUCAUAGUGACUUUUAGAACUGCUAUGAUCUUCUGGUCAGAAAGAAAAGACUUAUUGUUCUCUUCAGCCACUGGUUACUUCAUGCCUAUGGAAUAAUCUCCAUUUCCAGAGUGGAUAAACUUGAGCAAGAUUUGCCCCUUUUGGCUUUGGUACCUACACCAGCCCUUUUUUACUUGUUCACUGCAAAAUUUACCGAACCUUCAAGGAUACUCUCAGAAGGAGCCAAUGGACACUGAGUGUAGACAUGUGAAAUGCCAAAAACCUGAGAAGUGCUCCUAAUAAAAAAGUAAAUCAAUCUUAACAGUGUAUGAGAACUAUUCUAUCAUAUAUGGGAACAAGAUUGUCAGUAUAUCUUAAUGUUUGGGUUUGUCUUUGUUUUGUUUAUGGUUAGACUUACAGACUUGGAAAAUGCAAAACUCUGUAAUACUCUGUUACACAGGGUAAUAUUAUCUGCUACACUGGAAGGCCGCUAGGAAGCCCUUGCUUCUCUCAACAGUUCAGCUGUUCUUUAGGGCAAAAUCAUGUUUCUGUGUACCUAGCAAUGUGUUCCCAUUUUAUUAAGAAAAGCUUUAACACGUGUAAUCUGCAGUCCUUAACAGUGGCGUAAUUGUACUUACCUGUUGUGUUUCAGUUUGUUUUUCACCUAUAAUGAAUUGUAAAAACAAACAUACUUGUGGGGUCUGAUAGCAAACAUAGAAAUGAUGUAUAUUGUUUUUUGUUAUCUAUUUAUUUUCAUCAAUACAGUAUUUUGAUGUAUUGCAAAAAUAGAUAAUAAUUUAUAUAACAGGUUUUCUGUUUAUAGAUUGGUUCAAGAUUUGUUUGGAUUAUUGUUCCUGUAAAGAAAACAAUAAUAAAAAGCUUACCUACAUAAAAUUUCAAUGUUUUGACACUUAAUUGUUGUUUGGCACAAUAGUAUGGAAGUAAUUCAAACUGGUAAAUAGUUUCCUCUCAUAUCUCGGGUAUAUAUACAUACCAUAUUUUAUUGAUCCAGAGAUACUUAUUUCACUUUGUGACAUCUCUGAAUUAGGAUGCAUCUUACAACUGAUGGCUUAUUAGAUUUAAUGAAAUACAGAAGAUACACAGAAUAAAAAGGGUUUUCCUGUGGUUGGUUUGUGGUUUGUGAUAGGUGUUCUGUGAUGUUUAUGCUUUGAAGGCCUUAAGACUCAUGGUUGCAACCAUGGAAGCAAAAUGAAAUUUUUAGCUCUUAACCUAACAACCUGACCAUGUUUAUCCAUUUUUAUUGUUUAGAAGUUUAUUUACUGAUACUUGGUGGAGGUUGUGUGAAUUAGUUAAAUUUUAAAUGUUUAAGACUUCUAUUAACAGCUGCAAAAUAUGAAAGUAAGUGCACUCACUUUUCCUGUAGUAGUCUGUCUUUUGAAUUCACAGCAGUUGUAUCCUUGAGUUACUUUGUUAAUGUAUUUUUCUCAGUACAUUUAACCACUGGGAAAUGAACCCUUGUACGAAUGUGUUUCUUCUUCUCUGUA